This 129-nucleotide non-coding RNA is filed under the name Clostridium chromiireducens. RNAcentral's name for it is "Clostridium chromoreductans Bacterial small subunit ribosomal RNA". It matches the Rfam family "Bacterial small subunit ribosomal RNA", at positions 1 to 130 of the family's 1533-position model. The record is from Rfam by way of RNAcentral. Lineage: Bacteria; Bacillati; Bacillota; Clostridia; Eubacteriales; Clostridiaceae.
UAUAUUGAGAGUUUGAUCCUGGCUCAGGACGAACGCUGGCGGCGUGCUUAACACAUGCAAGUCGAGCGAUGAAGUCUCUUCGGGGACGGAUUAGCGGCGGACGGGUGAGUAACACGUGGGUAACCUGCC